Molecule: ribosomal RNA, 506 nt
Filed under: uncultured bacterium
Lineage: Bacteria
Description: bacterial SSU rRNA
Rfam family: Bacterial small subunit ribosomal RNA
Source: RNAcentral
CUGCCUCAAAGAGGGGAAUAGCCUUCCGAAAGGAAGAUUAAUACCGCAUAAUAUGUUUUGGUCGCAUGACUGAGACAUCAAAGGAGCAAUCCGCUUUGAGAUGGACCCGCGGCGCAUUAGCUAGUUGGUGAGGUAACGGCUCACCAAGGCGACGAUGCGUAGCCGACCUGAGAGGGUGAUCGGCCACAUUGGAACUGAGACACGGUCCAGACUCCUACGGGAGGCAGCAGUGGGGAAUAUUGCGCAAUGGGGGAAACCCUGACGCAGCAACGCCGCGUGAAUGAUGAAGGCCUUCGGGUUGUAAAGUUCUGUCUUCUGGGACGAUAAUGACGGUACCAGAGGAGGAAGCCACGGCUAACUACGUGCCAGCAGCCGCGGUAAUACGUAGGUGGCAAGCGUUGUCCGGAUUUACUGGGCGUAAAGGAUGCGUAGGCGGACAUUUAAGUCAGAUGUGAAAUACCCGAGCUUAACUUGGGUGCUGCAUUUGAAACUGGGUGUCUAGAGUG